RNAcentral lists this ribosomal RNA (2947 nucleotides) under Actinomycetota bacterium. RNAcentral describes it as "23S ribosomal RNA". It matches the Rfam family "Bacterial large subunit ribosomal RNA". The record is from RNAcentral. Lineage: Bacteria; Bacillati; Actinomycetota.
CGGCAAGACAGAAGAGGCAGACGACGGAUGCCUCGGCGCAAUGUGCCGAUGACGGACGCGGCAACGCGGCGAUACGCGUGGGGGAGCGGCAUGCACGCACUGAUCCCACGAUUUCCUAAUGGGGCAACCCGCUCGCACUUCGCGAGCACCUGCAUUUCGCAGGAGGGCACCGGGCCAACUGAAACAUCUCACGUAGCCCGAGGAAGAGACAUUAUUCCCGUAGUAGCGGCGAGCGAACCGGGACACGCCCAAACCACGCCCGUGCCAAGGCGGCAGCCGUUGCGCGCGUGGGGUUGGAGGACCGUGCACCCCGUCCUGCCGGACGGAACGUGCGGCGCUGAUGACGACCCGAAGGCGUUUGGAAGACGCCGCCAUAGACCGUGACAGCCGGGUAGGGGUAUUCGUCAGCACCACGGCGCGGUUCCUGAGUACGGCCGGGCACGAAAUACCUGGUCGGAAGCUGGGGGGCCCACCUCCCAAGGCUAUACUACACAUUGCGACCGAUAGCGCACAGUACCGUGAGGGAACGGUGAAAAGUACCCCGGCGAGGGGAGUGAAAUAGACCCUGAAAUCGUCUGCUUACAUGCAGUCGAAGGGAGCAUCCGCUCCUGACGGCGUGCCUUUUGGAGUAUGACCCGGCGAGUUACCCGACGUGGCUUGGUUAAGGCAGCUACAGCCGAAGCCGCAGCGAACGCGCGUCUGAAUAGGGCGUCUGGUCGCGUCGGGUAGACCCGAAACCGUGUGAGCUACCCAUGGUCAGGCUGAAGCGCGCCUAACCGCGCGUGGAGGGCCGCACCGGUGUGGGUUACAAACCGCUCGGAUGAACUGUGGGUAGGGGUGAAAUGCCAAUCGAACACGGAGAUAGCUGGUUCUCCCCGAAAUGCAUUGAGGUGCAGCCCCGUGUUAUGGCGCUGCUGGAGGUAGAGCACUGUUGGCCUGCGGGGGUGUCACAACCUACCAAUGGCCGGCAAACUCCGAAUGCCGGUAGCGCGCCACGGGAGUGAGACGGCCGGUGCCAACGUCGGUCGUCAAAAGGGCAACAACCCAGAUCACCAGCUAAGGUCCCCAAGUCCAUGCUCAGUGCGAAAGGCUGUGGGGUCGCUCAGACAACCAGGAGGUUGGCUUAGAAGCAGCCACCCUUGAAAGAGUGCGUAACAGCUCACUGGUCGAGUGGCCCUGCGCCGACAAUGUAUCGGGACUUAAGCAUGGCACCGAAGCUGUGAAUGCCAUCAUUACGAUGGCGUGGUAGGGGAGCGUCGUGCCUCCCACGAAGCGGCCGCGGAAGCGUGCCGUGGAGGACGCACGAGUGCGAAUGCCGGGAUGAGUAACGACCAAGCGGGGUGCGAACCCCCGCCACCGCAAGCCUGAGGGUUCCGCCGCACGGGUGAUCCGCGGCGGGUUAGUCGGGCCUAAGGCGUACCCGUAUGGGGAAACCGAUGGACAACGGGUAGACAUUCCCGUACCAGGGCCAGUCGUUUGACCGAUGCGGUGCCCAGUCUGGUACGUUCCGGGGCGAGAUGAGCGCCCUGCAAGCUGGUAGGGAGCCGGGGGCGGCAAAUCCCCCCUGGCGUUGACCGAGAGGUGAUGCGCAGGCCACCCCGCAAGGGGCAGCCGAUGGAACCGAGCCACUGCUGGCACGAAAAGCCGCUAGGGAGACUGUGUCCUGCCCGUACCGCAAACCGACACAGGUAGGCUGGUCGAGUAGACUAAGGUGGACGAGCGAACCCUCGCUAAGGAACUCGGCAAAUUGACCCCGUACCUUCGGAAGAAGGGGUGCUGCGUACGCGUGAAGCCGCUUGCCGGUGGAGCGCGCGGCAGCCGCAGGGUCCAGGCCCAGGCGACUGGUUAUCACAACCACAGGUCUCUGCUCAAGCCGCAAGGCGCCGUAUAGAGGCUGAUGCCUGCCCAGUGCCGGAAGGUUAAGGGGAGGGGUGCAAGCUCCGAACCGAAGCCCCGGUAAACGGCGGCUGUAACUAUAACAGUCCUAAGGUAGCGAAAUUCCUUGUCGGGUAAGUUCCGACCCGCACGAAAGGCAUCACGAUCUGGGCACUGUCUCAGCGAGGGGCUCGGUGAAAUUGCAAGGCCGGUGAAGAUGCCGGCAACCCGCAGCAGGACAAAAAGACCCCAUGGAGCUUUACUACAGCUUGCCAUCGGUCCAGGGGUGCGGAUGCGUAGGAUAGGUGGGAGGCUGUGAGCCGGCCCUUGCGGGGGUCGGGGAGCCGACGGUGAAAUACCACUCUUCCGCGCCUUUGGGCCUCACCCGCGAUGCGGGGACGGUGGCUGGUGGGUAGUUUGACUGGGGCGGUCGCCUCCCAAAGAGUACCGGAGGCGCGCAAUGGUGCCCUCACGUGGGAUGGUCAUCCACGGGCGAGUGCAACGGCACAAGGGCGCUUGACUGCGAGGCACACAGGCCGCGCAGGGGCGAAAGCCGGUCGUAGUGAUCCCACGGUUCCAAGUGGAAGGGCCGUGGCUUAACGGAUAAAAGCUACCCUGGGGAUAACAGGCUGAUCCUCCCCAAGAGUUCAUAUCGACGGGAGGGUUUGGCACCUCGAUGUCGGCUCGUCACAUCCUGGGGCUGGAGUCGGUCCCAAGGGUUGGGCUGUUCGCCCAUGAAAGUGGCACGCGAGCUGGGUUCAGAACGUCGUGAGACAGUUCGGUCUCUAUCCGCUGUGGGCGUGUAGAGCGUUGCGCGGGGCUGGCCCUAGUACGAGAGGACCGGGCUGGACGGACCGCUGGUGGACCAGUUGUGGGGCGACCCGCACGGCUGGGUAGCUACGUCCGGGAGCAAGAACCGCUGAAAGCAUCUAAGUGGGAAAUGCGCCGCAAGAUGAACGCUCUCACUGUUUCGGACAGGUAAGGCCGCGGGGAGACGACCCGAGAGCGGCGGUAGGUGGACGCCCGGUGACGGGUGCAGCCGAGCCGGCCGCACGGCCGAGGGCUUGCCGGA